AAGUCCCGCAAGGGAUCAGUAGAGUGGCAAACGGGUGAGUAACACGUGGGUGACCUGCCUUCGAGUGGGGGAUAACGUCCCGAAAGGGACGCUAAUACCGCAUGACAUCCCGUGUUUGGAUACACGGACAUCAAAGCCGGGGAUCGUAAGACCUGGCGCUUGAAGAGGGGCCCGCGUCCGAUUAGCUAGUUGGUGAGGUAACGGCUCACCAAGGCUCCGAUCGGUAUCCGGCCUGAGAGGGCGGACGGACACACUGGAACUGAGACACGGUCCAGACUCCUACGGGAGGCAGCAGUGGGGAAUUGUUCGCAAUGGGCGCAAGCCUGACGACGCAACGCCGCGUGGAGGAUGAAGACCUUCGGG
This 363-nucleotide ribosomal RNA is filed under the name uncultured bacterium. RNAcentral's name for it is "bacterial SSU rRNA". It matches the Rfam family "Bacterial small subunit ribosomal RNA", at positions 72 to 422 of the family's 1533-position model. The record is from RNAcentral.